AUUAACGCGGGCGCGCGGGGACCCGGUCCAAGUUUGGCUCCGCGGCGCCGGAGCACCUGAAGAUGGAUAUUGUCCGCUUGGUGCCAAGACUAUUUUGAGCGACCGAGCGGCUGGCCGGUCCCUGGGCCACCGCUGCUCAUCCUUCUCUUCAGGAGGAGGAGAGGACGGACGGACGAAUGGGCAAAUGAGGAAAAGCGCGCACGUCUGCACCUAAUGCUCUUUAUUAAUAGCCUAAAGCAACAGUUGUGGCUGUGCAUGAGCAGCGUAACAGGCACAAUGGAGACACAUCUUUAUUUCUCCAUCUUCUUUCUUCCUUCACGUCUGGUCAUGGAUAAGAAGUCAGUCUCGUCAUCUUCUCGUCUCUCCUUCCUAUUUUCUUUGCGCGUUGGAUCCAAGAGCUGAGACGUAAUCCGCAGCGCCGUUGAAACACACGCAGCCCCCCAUUCAAACACACAUCACCUGCCUACCCCCCCCAAUCUUUGCGGACAGAGUCGUAUCCUGGAGAAGUUUGCGGCGCGCGGGCGUACGUGUGGCGCAUUGGUCGGCUCCGGUCCGCGCUGAAAGGAACGGAAGGCGGAGGGACGUCGUGCGCGAACUCCCGCCGGAUGCGGGGACUCUCCACUUGUCGGACGCAAAGACAGAGGGAUGCACCCGCAUCCACGCUGACGGCGGCAAGCGGAGCGCAGGCGGAAUUGCACUUUUUUUUUGGAUUCUCGGUGUAUUCGGGAGGCUUUUACGCAGCGCAAGGAGUAAGGAAGACGCUGCGGAGAUGAGCGUCGCGCGGCCGCACACGCGCCCGGCGGAUUCCCUCUCCUGAUACCGGGACCAGAGAGGACAGAACAACGCGGCCCAUGAUUUUUUUCCAGAAGAUCGCAAAGGUGGAGCGAUUAGAGAAGGGCUGAUGACGGGACUAUUAAUCCUUUCAGUGCAUCAAAAGCACCAAAGGGCAUUAGAAACGUUUGGAUGGAAAUCGGGCGAGUGUUUGAAACUGUUUUUGGUUUUAUAUGAAACUGGCGAUUAGUUUCGGUGACCGAAUUUGAAGGAUUUCUCUUGAACUACGGAGUGCAUUUGCUUGGCACGAGCGGUCCCCACGCGUGAAUUUCCAAAAACUCUCAUCUCGAUCUGUUUUUUUUUCCUUCCAAGUAUUCCUGAAUCUAAAUGGAAUUAGUUGAGUCUGAAGUCGUUUGUGAAAGGAACAGACAUGGUUCAUGGGCAGAGCUUCCUUCACGUUGUUGCAGGUCUUCUCGUACUGGGCUUGUCUGGGGCAACCAAAAAGGACACAGCAGUGAAAAACAAUUCUGGAGUGAAGCCUGCAGGUCAAUGUGGAACGUGGGUGAAAGAACCAGAAGGAGGACUCUUCACUUCUCCCAAUUACCCAAACAAAUACCCUCCAGACACAGAGUGUGUUUACAUCCUUGAAGCGCCUCCGAGGCAGUGCAUCGAUCUCCGCUUCGAGGAGAACUAUUCCAUCGAGUCCUCUUGGGAAUGUAAAUUUGACAACAUCGAGGUUCGGGAUGGACCCUUCGGCUUCUCCCCGCUGCUGGGGAGGUACUGCGGGCAGCACAGCCCGCCCGACAUCAGGAGCAGCGGCCGCUACCUGUGGAUAAAAUUUGUCACCGACGGCGAGCUGGAAGCGGUGGGAUUUUCAGCAAGUUACAACUUCACUGCAGAUCCGGACUUUGCAGACUUGGGAGUACCCCCACCGCUGCCCUCCUGUCAGUAUGACAUGGUUGGUCCCGAGGGCAUCGUCGAGUCUCACCAGAUCACCAGAGACGGGAAGGCCGGUGCUGCUGAGGCCAUCGACUGUAAAUGGUACAUCCGUGCUCCACCCCGUUCCAAGAUCUACCUGCGUUUCCUGGAUUAUGAAAUGGCCAAUUCCAACGAAUGCAAGCGCAAUUUUGUGGCAGUCUAUGACGGCGGCAGUUCGGUGGAAGACCUGAAGAGCAAGUUCUGCUCCACGGUGGCCAACGACAUCAUGCUGGUCUCCACGCUGGGAGUCAUUCGCAUGUGGGCGGACGAGUCCAGCCGCAAAAGCCGCUUCCGGAUCCUUUACACAACGUACCAAGAACCUCCAUGCGAUGCAGAUGCCUUCUUCUGUCACAGUAACAUGUGCAUAAACAACACACUGGUGUGUAACGGCAUGCAGAACUGCGUCUACCCCUGGGAUGAGAACCAGUGUAAAGAAAAGAGAAAAGCCAACAUCCUGGACAACCUGAACAACACGAACGGCACCAUCAUCGGCGUCACCUGUUGCAUCGUCCUCAUCCUCCUCAUCGUCUCCGUCAUCGUCCAGAUCAAGCAGCCGCGCAAGAAGUACGUGCUGCGGCGCGAGGACUUCGACCCCACCAUGUUCCAGGAGGUCUUUGAGCCGCCUCACUACGAGCUGUGCACUUUACGGAGCGCCACCACGGCCGCGGCGGCCUCCGCCGACCUGGUGGACCUGGCGGAGGACUUCGAGAACUACCACGCCCUCCGCCGCGCCUCCUCGCGCUGCGUCUACGACCACCACUGUGGCUCCGCCUCCAACCCCGGCUCCGCCCACAUAUCCCAGCUGUCGCUGAGCGGCCGGGGGAGCCGCGGGAACCUGAGCGGGCGCGACGCGGCGGCCGCCACGCUGCUCGCGGACUUCCCGCAGCCCCCGAUGGCGGUGCGGCCGCUGCUGCCGGCCGCCGGGAACCGCAGGAGCAUCCUCGUGAUGAAGCACAGCUACUCGCAGGAGGCGGCAGACAACGGGUGCGACCUGGACGAAGACCUGGAGGACGUUCCCACCACCAGCCACCGGCUCUCACGCCACGAAAAGGCAGUGCAGCGGUUCUGCCUCAUUGGCUCUUUGAGCAAACAUGAAUCAGAGUACAACACAACUAGGGUCUAAGAGACAAUCUCAAGGUAAGCACUCUUAUCCAACAAUCGACAUCUCUACAUGUUGUGUGGUCAUCGUUUGCUGUGUCAGUAUAUACUUUUAUGUGAGUCGAUUUUCAUUUUUUCCAGUGGUUUGGCCUUUGUGUUGUUGCUUGCAGCCAUCUUGCCCUCCGACUGGUUUUAUUUGUGAUGCUCUGUGAGUUUACUGUAUGUUUUCUUCCUGAAGACAUACAUACUAUCACUCAGUGGAUGUUCAUACGCAUGGAGGUUUUAUUAGAUUCACAUUUAUUUUGCUGUUAUGAAUUCUAUGUAACCUCUCCCUGCAGCAAAUAACCUGUAUCAAUAAUGUAAAAGCACAAAUUUGAUAGCAAACGCAAUCCCAGAUGUUUUCUAUUAAAUUGCAUCGGCGGGAUUUUUGUAAACAUUGGUUAUGACCACUGACCACUAUCUUCUUCCCCUCUGUGUAAAUUACAGUUAUGUUUACAGAAGCCCUCUGUAGUUUUGCAUGAUUUAUGUCACUUUUACCAUUUGGUUUCUCAGUUCCGUUGAUUGUGAUGCACUGUAUUUAUGCUCAUGUGUAACAUUUAAUGUGCAUGCUCCACGACCGUGCAUUUGUGAGGUUGCCGUCUGUUUGGUAAUGCAGCGUUUUCUACGUUCUAUUAAUUAUUAACAGAAAGUAUUGGAGUGUUUGCAGCUUGAUGUCUGCAUAAAGUGGAGCUGUCACAUGAAGUGCUACCUGCUGUUUGUCUUUUAGCGUGACAACUGUGCCGUCCUGUUGUAUGUGCGUCUGCUUAUGUUCUGCGUUAUGUUGCAUUGUCUCCAUCAUGUAGACUUCUUGAGAAUAGUGCAAUCCUGGAUCAGUACGAACGGGCGUCACUGACAUAUGAGAAAGCGGAGCGGGGAUUUACACCAGCAUGACGCUGAUGAUGAAGGGACACCUUGUCAAAAGCGUACUGAAUAUGCAUUCUUGUGCAAAGAUGAACACAAAGGACAAGAUGAAUUUACUUCAGCUGCAGCGCUUUAAUGCGGGAAGCUUUUAAAGUUCAGUCGAGGCUGUUGCUCUGUACUGUACCAUAGUCGAGAUGUUUUGAAUUGAAAACCUAUGGACCUUUAUUGAUUCUUGAACUUUAAAUCUGAAAUAUAUUGGUUAUUGUCAUAUAUUCUUUAUUAAUAGCAAAGGUAAUAGAACUAACAAGUUAAUUUUAAGCAUGUUUUUGUCACUUUAGUAGCAUAUUCUAUUAUGAUUUUAAUAGCAAAUGUAGCUGCUUGACAUUUUUCACAAUGAAAACAUUUGUUAUUAAAUAAAUUUAAAUUAAAAACUAACUAAACUAAUUGAAUGCAAGUGGACAAACCAGACGUUUGUUUAAUUUGAACUACAUCUGAAAACUAUAUGGCUAGUGCAUGCUUAUUAUGAACAUACUGACAUUAAAUUAUGAAAGGCUUCCAUCCACUAACGAAUCAGCCAUGUGGACAUAAGAUAGACAUAAAGACUCAUCUUUAAAAUGAAUAACUGCAUUGCAUGAGUUUUAUUAGCGAAAUCUUUAGAUUUAGAAGAAAAUUGCACCUAAUACAUGUAACCACUUUGAUUUGAUUUCAAACUCUUUCAGAAAUGUUGACAAGUAUUUGACAGUUACAAAAUUCUGUUUUGUUGACAACAACAUUUACUGUAAUCUGUUCCUCUUCUAAGUCUCUUCUAUUGCAGAAGCUUUGUAUUAAAACUGAAUUUUAUACUCACAUUUUAAAAGGAAACACCAUUUUUCAUUUACUCAAACUUUCUUGCAGGGCUGAUUUUUCUAAUGCUUUGUAACAAUUAUUAACAAUAAACCAUAAACAUUCUUGAUUGCUUUAGUGACUUAGAGGUUUAACCACUAAAAGACUGCAUCAUAUAUCCAGUAAAGCAGAUAUAUACAUAUACAAUUUACACAUAAGCACCAGACACUGCUUCUUUAUUUCUCUCAGUCAUUGUCCUAUUUUUCUUACUUGUGUCACUUAUAUGGUAUCUUCUGGUGUUUGUAGCUUAUUUUUCUGUAUGUUGUGUAUUAUGUAUUAUUUGCGGCCACGCUCUUCAUUCAUUUUUCCUUUCAUUGUCAUACAAACAUUCACAGACUCCUGCAAAUAUUGAAUAAAAUAUACAUUUUCUUUUCUAGACAUAUGUUGUUGUGGUGUGUGUUACAUGUUCGGAACAACUCACACAUUAACCCGUCUGUCUACAGUAGCCAACAUAUAGUACAUAAAUGGAAGCAGACACCUCAGGACUGUAAUACAUCAAAAACGUGCGUCAUUCCUCUGCAUCUUGCCAGUUUGACAACAUUCGGAGUUAAGAUUUCUCUCCCUCGUGCGCCUUGAGUGAACUGUUGCCCUGAGCAACUUUACCAAUGUAGAGUGUUGUGAUGCGAAAUUAAACAAAAGGUUUCGUGUGUGUGCAUCAACUUUUCUUCUUUGCUUUGGACUACAAAGGUGCAUUUUCUCAGUCUGUGCUCCACAGCUGGCUACGAUUGACGAGCCAUGGAACGCUGAUUAUUUCAAAUGCAGGACUGGAUGUUUGCUGUUUGAGUACCUUUAAUGUAAAGUUGUUCAUGAAGAAAAAACAAACAAAUAAACAAGAGAAUCAGGUUUUUUUUUAUAAUUUACGUGUAACCAUUAACUUGUAUAUUUGAAAUGAAAUCUCUGCAAGGGAUCAGAUUGUUGCUAUUGAGAAGACAAGAAUGUAUGAAAUGAGUGAUAAUGAACUUCAUAAGUGGGUGCAAACAUGAUUUUACUGACCAAUCAAUGAGUAUUUACUUUUAUUUUUCCACCUUUACUCAUGUCUGAACAUUACUUAUUUCUUUGUUUUGUGUCUUGUCAAAUUUCAUUAAGCUGUGGUGUUUUAUAAUCCGUUUGCAUAUUUAUUUCAUAGGACAUUAAUUAAAUGCUGGAUACAAUGUUUUCAAUAAACAAAUGAUUACCGA
Betta splendens (Siamese fighting fish) is the source of this 5807-nucleotide RNA transcript. It is a transcript of the gene named neuropilin (NRP) and tolloid (TLL)-like 1, like, with no coding region annotated. The transcript is spliced from 12 exons. The record is from RefSeq and is a predicted model, not a curated record. Lineage: Eukaryota; Metazoa; Chordata; Actinopteri; Anabantiformes; Osphronemidae.